RNAcentral lists this unclassified non-coding RNA (311 nucleotides) under Hevea brasiliensis (rubber tree). Lineage: Eukaryota; Viridiplantae; Streptophyta; Magnoliopsida; Malpighiales; Euphorbiaceae. The record is from RNAcentral.
UAUCUUGGGUCCUAGGCAAAAAAAAAAAAAAGUCCAGAGACUAAAUAGGAUUUUAUUGCUAAAUAGGUGGGACUUGCUUGCUGUGUCCUGUUUUAGGAAAACAAGAUGUGUUAAGUAUUUUUUUGCCCUCUCUUUUACGUGAUGAUUGUAUGUAAUAUUUGCCUGAGUGUAUGGAUAGUUGAUGAUAUGUACUUCACUUGAAGCAUAAUGGGAUUGUGGAUGGUUGAACUUAAAUUGCUAGUGUGAAGUUUUGAAAUGAAAUCUUAGAAGGUUUUGUUCUGUGUUGCAGAACUUAAGGUCAAGCACAAGCA